GUAACACAUGAAGAACGUACCCUCCAGUUCGGGAUAACCCCGCGAAAGCGGGGCUAAUACCGGAUGCCGCCGUGGUGACGCCUGUCGCUGCGGUGAAAGUCGUAAGACGCUGGAGUGAGCGCUUCAUGGCCUAUCAGCUAGUUGGCGGGGUAAUGGCCCACCAAGGCUUUGACGGGUAGCCGGACUGAGAGGUCGACCGGCCACACGGGGACUGAGACACGGCCCCGACAUCUACGGAUGGCAGCAGUAGGGAAUAUUGCGCAAUGGGCGAAAGCCUGACGCAGCGACGCCGCGUGGGGGAUGAAGGCCUUCGGGUUGUAAACCCCUUUCAUGUGGGAAGAAAACUGACUUAACCACAGGAAGAAGCACCGGCUAACUCCGUGCCAGCAGCUGCGGUAAGACGGAGAGUGCAAACGUUGUUCGGAUUUACUGGGCGUAGAGGGCACGUAGGCGGCCAGGCAACUCAGUUGUGGAAUCCCAACGCCUACCGUUGGAACGGCAAUUGAAAAUACCUGGCUCGAGGGCUGAAGGGGUCGCAGGAACUCUUGGUGGAGCGGUGAAAUGCGUAGAUAUCAAGAGGAACGCCGGAGGCGAAAGCGUGCGACUGGUCAGUUCCUGACGCUGAGGUGCGAAAGCUAGGGGAGCAAACAGGAUUAGAUACCCUGGUAGUC
RNAcentral lists this ribosomal RNA (671 nucleotides) under uncultured bacterium. Its description in RNAcentral is "bacterial SSU rRNA". It matches the Rfam family "Bacterial small subunit ribosomal RNA", at positions 110 to 795 of the family's 1533-position model. The record is from RNAcentral.